GGAGCUUCAGCAGGACGUCGACGAGGCCCUCCAGCAUCACGCCAAUCGUGCCCCUCUUCUGCUCCUGCGGGAUCCUCAUCAUUUGGUGGAGGAGUACGUCAGAGGUGGAGUUUGGGUGAAUGUGGAGUCGGGGUCGUGGAGGGAGGCGCUGGUGGAGAGGCUGGCAGUCACUCCACGCACGCCGCUCUAUUUACGACUGCAACAUGCUGCGACUUUGGAGGUGGUGGCCUGUACACAGAAACUGCUACAGGACGGCGACGGAAGCCUGCGGCUUCUCGUGGUGCUGGACGACACGUGUUCAGAGGCGCCGUGUCCGCUCUGCACCGAUCUUCCCGCCAUCGACCUUGCUCUCGAC
This is a non-coding RNA of Penaeus vannamei (Pacific white shrimp), 355 nucleotides long. NCBI's taxonomy places the organism in Eukaryota, Metazoa, Arthropoda, Malacostraca, Decapoda, Penaeidae. The record is from RefSeq and is a predicted model, not a curated record.